Podarcis lilfordi (Lilford's wall lizard) is the source of this 72-nucleotide non-coding RNA. The record is from the annotation of a GenBank genome assembly. NCBI's taxonomy places the organism in Eukaryota, Metazoa, Chordata, Lepidosauria, Squamata, Lacertidae.
GCUGAUAGUUCAAUUGAUUAGAGUGUGGUGUUGAUAAUGCCAAGGUUGCAGAUUCGAUCCCCGCAUGAGACA